AUACGUAGGGGGCGAGCGUUAUCCGGAAUUAUUGGGCGUAAAGAGUACGUAGGUGGUUUUGUAAGCGUGAGGUGAAAGCCCGAGGCUUAACUUCGGUAAGCCUUUCGAACUGCAAGACUUGAGUGCAGGAGGGGAAAGUGGAAUUCCUGGUGUAGCGGUGAAAUGCGUAGAUAUCAGGAGGAACACCUGUGGCGAAGGCGGUUUUCUGGACUGUAACUGACACUGAGGUACGAAAGCGUGGGGAGCAAACAGGAUUAGAUACCCGGGUAGUCCACGCUGUAAACGAUGAUUACUAGGUGUUGGGGACCAAAGGUCCUCGGUGCCGCCGCAAACGCAUUAAGUAAUCCACCUGGGGAGUACGUUCGCAAGAAUGAAACUUAAAGGAAUUGGCGGGG
RNAcentral lists this ribosomal RNA (395 nucleotides) under uncultured bacterium. Its description in RNAcentral is "partial 16S ribosomal RNA". It matches the Rfam family "Bacterial small subunit ribosomal RNA", at positions 523 to 918 of the family's 1533-position model. The record is from RNAcentral.